RNAcentral lists this transfer RNA (64 nucleotides) under Isoscelipteron pectinatum. RNAcentral's name for it is "tRNA-Ile". The record is from RNAcentral. Lineage: Eukaryota; Metazoa; Arthropoda; Insecta; Neuroptera; Berothidae.
AAUGAAGUGCCUGACUAAAGGAUUAUUUUGAUAGAAUAAAUCAUGUAUUAAUAUACCUUCAUUA